GCGUUCGUGAAAAGGAGAGAUGGUUGGCAUCUCCCCUGACAGGGAUGGGAACAGCCUUCGGGCUUUCCUGUUACACAUCUCGGUUAAGGCUAUCCACCACUUUGAGGUUGGAUCUAACCCAAUUUUUUUU
Molecule: non-coding RNA, 130 nt
Filed under: Medicago truncatula (barrel medic)
Lineage: Eukaryota; Viridiplantae; Streptophyta; Magnoliopsida; Fabales; Fabaceae
Source: RNAcentral